CCCUUAGAUGUUCUGGGCCGCACGCGCGCUACACUGAUGAAUGCAACGAGCUCUACCCUUGACCGAAAGGCCCGGGUAAACUUGUGAAACUUCAUCGUGAUGGGGAUAGAUUAUUGCAAUUAUCAAUCUUCAACGAGGAAUUCCUAGUAAGCGCGAGUCAUCAGCUCGCGUUGAUUACGUCCCUGCCCUUUGUACACACCGCCCGUCGCUCCUACCGAUUGAAUGGUCCGGUGAAAUCUUCGGAUUGCUGACCAAGAUCCAGCAAUGGAGCUUGGUUGCGAGAAGUUGAUUAAACCUUAUUAUUUAGAGGAAGGAGAAGUCGUAACA
Molecule: ribosomal RNA, 327 nt
Filed under: uncultured eukaryote
Lineage: Eukaryota
Description: partial 18S ribosomal RNA
Rfam family: Eukaryotic small subunit ribosomal RNA
Source: RNAcentral